This 692-nucleotide long non-coding RNA is filed under the name Hordeum vulgare. RNAcentral describes it as "long non-coding RNA (HVUL_LNC003517)". Lineage: Eukaryota; Viridiplantae; Streptophyta; Magnoliopsida; Poales; Poaceae. The record is from RNAcentral.
UGAAACAGUUCCUUCCUGCGUUCCUGCUCGCUCGUGAUCCUACAGUAGUUCCAAAGCUUGGCACGAGCAUCCUACCAAGAUUUUUUUUAUCUCAGUUUCUUCGAAAUUCUCCUACAUGCAUGAAAGUCGUAAACACCGUCGCGCGCGUACGGGCAGGCAUGCAGAUGUACAUAGUCAUUCUCUGGUAUCGGUAACAUCUCAAAGUCGUUACACAAGGAGACAACUGACACGUCGUGUGCACAGCGCAGACGUCGAGCACGAGAGAGACGACGGGUAAGCUGUCUCUGUUGUUGUCCUGCUCAACGAGUCACUCUCGCCAUCGGAGGAUGAUGUCUACUCUAAUCUAACCACGAGUAUUAAACACAACGGCGCCGGUCCGUGCGGCCAAAAUUAGGCUCCUCUCGUCUGUCACCUCACCUCCCUAUCCAAAAACCAGUCAGUCUCUGAACACACGGCUACGAUGGAAGCGUGCCAAAAAUCGCAGGUUAUGCCCGAACCUUGAGAAAGUGAAGGGAGAACGAAUGAUCGGUGGAGCAUAUAUAUAUACGAUUAUAUGACGAACCUUUGAUAAUCAUCACUGGCCAAAUAUAGCAAAAUUGAUCAAGAAUCAUGGCGUUUUUGCUCUGCAACGGCGACGUAGCAGUCUUCCGUCGGCUCCCACGACGAUGCUGUGAGCAGGGAGAGGUCCNNNN